Molecule: ribosomal RNA, 426 nt
Filed under: uncultured prokaryote
Description: bacterial SSU rRNA
Rfam family: Bacterial small subunit ribosomal RNA
Source: RNAcentral
UGGGGAAUCUUGCGCAAUGGGCGAAAGCCUGACGCAGCAACGACGCGUGAGCGAAGACGGCCUUCGGGUUGUAAAGCUCUGUCAGGAGGGACGAAGCCACUCAGGUGAAUAGCCGAGAUGGUGACGGUACCUCCAGAGGAAGCCCCGGCUAACUACGUGCCAGCAGCCGCGGUAAUACGUAGGGGGCGAGCGUUGUCCGGAAUCAUUGGGCGUAAAGCGCGUGUAGGCGGCCAUCCAAGUCCGAUGUGAAAGCUCGGGGCUCAACCCCGAGUCUGCAUUGGAAACUGAAUGGCUUGAGUCCGGAAGAGGAGACUGGAAUUCCUGGUGUAGAGGUGAAAUUCAUAGAUAUCGGGAGGAACACCAGUGGCGAAGGCGGUUUCCUGGUCUGAUACUGACGCUGAGGCGCGAAAGUGUGGGGAGCAAACA